GCGACUCUCUGGGGCGGGCCCUAAGGGCGGGGUCAAGCCCUCAGAGGCGGGGUCACGUGCUCACUGCCGCUGGGUUAGGGCGCAGGUUACUAGUGGUGGCGGAGGGUGAGCUCUGUAGCCGGCGGAGUCCACCGCGAGCCGUCCGGGCUGCCAGAGUCAUUGCGCCGGCAGGAUGUCCCUGGCUGCCUACUGUGUCAUCUGUUGCAGGAGGAUAGGAUCCUUUGCUCCCCGAUCAAAAAGUCGCACGCCCUGGAGAAAUAUCCGAAAUAUAAUAAGAUUUACUGGAUCCCUCAUUGUAGGGGGUUCUCUAUUUAUUACAUAUGAAGUGCUGGCCCUGAAAAAGUCUUUAAUGUUGGACACUCAGGUGGUGGAACGAGAAAAAAUGAAGUCUUACAUCUAUGUGCACAAAGCUCCUGUAGACAGGUUAGACAACCGUGGGAUUGUUUGGCAGGCAAGAAAAGAACUUCACAGAGCAGUAAGAAAACUGUUGGCGGCAGCAGCCAAGGUACUGCGGAGCCCAUUUGCUGACUCUUUCAGCACAGUUGACAUAGAAGAUCAUGACUGUGCAGUGUGGCUGCUCCUGAGGAAGAGCCGGGAGGACGAUCUAGCUGCACGGCUGCAGGCCGUGCGUGAAAUGUCAGAGGCUCACCACUGGCAUGACUACCAGUACAGGAUAAUUGCUCAAGCCUGUGACCCGAGGACCCUUAUUGGUUUGGCACGAAGCAAAGAAAGUGAUCUUCGGUUUUUUCUCCCACCCCCUCCUUUGCCUUCUUUAAAAGAAGACUCCUCCACUGAAGAGGAACUCAGGCAUCUGCUGGCCUCUCUGCCUCAGACAGAGCUUGAUGAGUGUCUCCAGUACUUUACAUCCUUGGCUCUUAGUGAAAGCAGCCAGAGCCUGGCUGCACAGAAGGGAGGACUGUGGUGUUUUGGAGGAAACGGACUGCCUUACGCAGAAAGCUUUGGAAAGGUUCCCUCAGCCACAGUGGAAAUGUUCUGUUUAGAAGCCAUAGUAAAGCAUUCGGAGAUACCCUCACACUGUGACCACAUUGAAGCAGGCGGUGGCUUGCAACUCCUGCAGAGGCUCUACCAGCUUCACAAGGACUGCCCCAAAGUACAGAGAAACGUCAUGAGGAUCAUCGGAAACAUGGCUUUGAACGAGCAUCUUCACCCUGCUAUAGUCCACUCAGGAUGGGUAUCUCUCAUGGCAGAAGCCUUGAAGUCCAGCCACAUUAUGGAGGCUUCCCACGCUGCCAGAACCCUGGCUAACCUGGACCGAGAAACUGUGGGUGAGAAAUACCAGGACGGAGUGUACGUGCUGCAUCCCCAGUGUCGGACAAGCAUUUAAAACCUGGCGGCAGCACGACAGCCAGCGGGCUCUGACUGAAAGUGCUGUGGUGGAUGAAGACAGGUACACUACAUGCUGGCCCAAGACAUGGCUAGCAAAGGACUGCCCCUCACUUCGCAUCAUAUCUGUGGAGUACGACACGAGUCUCAGCGACUGGAGGGCAAGGUGCCCUAUGGAGAGAAAGUCGAUUGCAUUCAGAAGCAACGAACUUCUCAGCAAGCUCAGGGCUGCUGGUGUUGGGGAUAGGCCAAUGAUUUGGAUCUCACACAGCAUGGGAGGUCUUCUUGUGAAGAAGAUGCUGUUGGAAGCCUCUAAGAAGCCCGAACUGAAUGCUCUUAUAAACAAUACCAGAGGAAUUAUUUUUUACAGUGUCCCUCACCAUGGGUCACGUUUGGCUGAAUACUCCGUUAAUAUUCGAUAUCUUCUCUUUCCCUCACUGGAAGUCAAAGAACUCAGCAAAGACUCUCCUGCACUGAAGACGCUACAGGACGACUUUCUGGAGUUCGCGAAAGACAAAAACUUCCAGGUGCUGAACUUUGUAGAAACACAACCGACAUUUAUCGGCAGCAUGAUUAAACUGCAUGUAGUGCCCGUGGAGUCAGCAGAUUUAGGCAUUGGGGAUCUAAUUCCUGUGGACGUCAACCACUUGAACAUUUGCAAGCCGAAGACAAAGGAUGCGUUUUUGUACCAACGUACUCUACAGUUCAUCUGCGAAACUUUAGCCAGAGAUCUUGAAAACUGAGAGAUACGUUCUUCCAUUUUUUUGUGUGAAUAUAGUGCGAGAAACGUGGCAUUCUCCAUCUGUUGUUAAGGUCUCCGCAGUCCUGUGCACUCACUGCGUGUGGGGUGCAGGCAGCAGAGCGCAGCUCUUCACGCAAGCACUGGGAGAUGCCCGAGUACACCUGGAGGCCACAGAGGAAGGCUUACAUUGAGAAACUCCUUGUGCUGGGCCUUGGGGUAGGGAGCAGAGCUGCUGUGGCCAGAGGGCCCGACCACCUGAGACUGUCCCAGCUCACCCAAGAGUCCUGACAGGCAAGCUAGCACACCAUGAGAAUGAAACUUGGGGAGAUCAAGCUAGAACUUACAGAGGCUGUGGUUGAUCUGGGUACCAUGUGCCAUGAUGUUUUACUGCCAGCUUUUAAUGUCAAUAUGCCAGGUGCACAGUUGACACUUUUACAGGGGCUCCUGUGCCUGCUUGUAUGUGCGGGCCAGGCUCUGCUUCUGGGUUUCUCACAGUGCUGAGAACGAUUGGGUUUUUUUUUAAGUAUUCCUUCUAAGAUAUUUUAAUUAGCUAUUGAAUAGUAUGCUCCAGAUAAGGUAAGGAUCAGGUUAUGACACACCUAUUUGAAGCAGUCAGGUAUGCUGACCACUCAGUAUUAAGCCUCUCCAAUUUUCUGGCUAUGUAAAGUACAGCUUCCCUUCAUGCCCCCUUAGAGGGAGGGUGGGAACGUGUGCUGAUGAUCGUUGUUGAGUUUUAGUAAUAGCAUUAUUAACAUGAAAGUCAGUGUGUGUGUGUGCGUGUGUGUGUGUGUGUGUGUGUGUGUGUGUGUGCGCGCGCGCGUGUGCGCGCACGUGCAUGUGUGUGGUGCUAGGGAUCAAACUGGAAACCUUGUGCAUGCUAUGUCCUCAGCCCCAAAUUUAUACAACUUUUAGUACAUUCAAAGUUACUAUCACCACUGUCCAAUUUCAGUGGAUUGUGUCAUCCCCAAAGCAGCUCUCUCACCAGCAGGCAGUCCCCUCCUCCGACCCCAACCCCAGGAAACACUAUUGCUUUCCCUCUCUGCGAGAUUGCCUAGUGAACAUUCAUAAAGUCGGUAGCGUCACCGUGGUGCUCUUAGCACAAUGGUUCUUUCUUGCAUCACUCUUUCUGCCUCUCUCUGCUUCCUCCCUGCCUUGCAGUGAGCAGUUUUGCCCAUUCUCCCAUGAUGCCCUGUCUCGCCAUGGGACCGGUGAUGACUGACUGAAACCUUGGGCAGCAGACAUCUUUUCUCCUUGACCUCUGCUGCCCAGGUGUUUGUCAUCGAGGUGAACAUGCUUUAAAACUGCGAUCUGAAAAGAGCUGUCUAGUGUAUUGCUAAAUUAGUGUUAGUGUUUCUCUGACAAGACAGUCGGCAUUUCUGCUCUGUCUAUAUGAUGGAAAGGCCACUCUCCAUUUAUCACAAAGGCUUGGUGAGGCGUAGAUGAUAACGUACACCAAGGUGGAUAAUAGAGCAAGAUGGAACAAAUCCAACACUGGCGGAAUCAUCCUGAACAAAGACAUCAUUGAAACCAAUGAGCACAAGAUAACUGCAAAACAGCAGCGCCUUAAAGACGGCACAGACACACGGUAGCUGCAGAAGGACCCCUCAAAGGCAAGGAACCCUCCUACCUCACCUACCUCACCUAAGCUGCCCUUGAGACUAGUGUGGGCAUAAUGAACAGAUGUGGUCAGGGGCAGGAACUCAAGCGUUGGCGAAGCCUGACAUUUGCUCUGCCUGAGUUCAUGUAAAUUAGAAUGUGAUGGAACGGCCUGGAACAUAAUCUGGUAUUUUAUCAUAAAUGCACAUAGAUUUCUGAAUAAUGCUGAUGAUAAUUUAUGGGUACAUUUGGAGGAUCUACAAACAAUCCACAACUAAAAAUAUUUUGGUGAAGAGAGGCCCUUACGUUCCUGUCACAGGGUCAGAGACAGCAAGGAUGAAGUUGCUGGGAAUUUGAGUUGGGAGGUGCAUGGGAGCAAGGAUCAAGGUCUUUCUUGGGCAGAGAAACAGCUCUGAUACUGCAACAUAGACGUUAUACCGUGCAGGGAGCGAAGCUGAAUGUGGAGCCAGGGCCAUCAGAGGUGAUGGUGUCAGCAUGGGGUCAUUAGUUGUAGACAUCCUAGGGCAGGGCAUCUCGGGAGCUCCCUGUGGGAACAGGUAAGUGUUCGGGAACCCUUAACUUUAAUUUCCCGCUGACACUACUCUUACUCAGUAUACCGCUGAGCCCAUCCCCUGCCACCUUGGUAUAAAGAUCCCACAGUCUGCUGAUUCCUCUCUUGGCCAGGUCUGAACAACACAGAGAGAAAUCUUACUGGUUUACCAUUUUGAAAUUACCAGUAUAUUCUUAAUCCUGAGAGACACAAUAUGAGUAACUAUGUUCUGUGAAUAAGCUUAGAAUAAACGUGUCCCAUCUGUUUCCAUGAAAAAAUGUAUAUAAAGCAUCCUCAGAGCCCAUCUAUUCCACAGAGUGUUGUAAGGGCCUUGCCCGAGUCUCACUGUGUGUGUGGUGUCAGCGAUCAUGAUAGCGGCUCUCACACAAUUCUCUAUUCACAUAUAAUUGCUGUGUGUGUGUUUGUGUGUGCGUGUGUGCAUGUAGCUCAGCGGGCAACAGUCAGGAGUUAGUUCUUCCACCAUGUGAGUCUUGGGGCUCAAACUCAGGUCUUCAGGCCUGACAGCAAGCACCUCUGAUGCUCAGCCACCCCUUGGGCCUUAAGCCAUAAUUGAUAAUCUAUCUUAUUCUCUUGCUUUUCAACCAAUUGUUGAGUCCCAAUUGUUGAGAGAUUGAGAGAGAGAACCAAAACAGCAUGCAGUAAGAACUAUCUAUUGCAUUUGAUAUCGAGGAAGGCUGGCCAAAAGAAUCCGAGGAGCCCCUUCAGAUCUGAAAAGACUCAAUUUUAAAAGAACGAAAACAUCUAACGCAUCCAACAUGAGAACAAAUUACCAAUCAAGAUACACUGCAGGCUUUGACUGGUCACUGAUCUCUGGGUAUAAGUUUCCCUUUCCGACAAAACGACCAUUUGAAAGCCAGCGCUUUAACAAUGUGUAAUUAGCUUACACAUGUCGUCAGGGAGAUUUUUUUUAAGUAUCUCAAACUAGCAACUUUAAACCUUUGUAUUUCAGUCACCUUAACAAAUAUCUUUAGCUCUGGGAAAUGAGUCUAUAUUACCGUCAGCGAGACUGAACUUGUCAGCAUUGCCCCUGAAAUACUGUGCUAAAAACGUGCAGUCAUCGUAACUAAGGCAGACCAAAAGCCAAAACAGACUGGACACAAAAUGGAAUCUUUGGGUGGUGGUUGCUCACUGCUGAAGUCAUUCAACCAACAGAUGCUAGCUUAAAACGCCCUACAGUUAAACAUUGGUUUAAAAAUAAGGCUAUUCCAACUGUUGUCCUGUUCCCCACCCCCACUUGACACCCUUACACUGUCUUGAAACUGGGUCUUACUAUGUAGCUCUGGCUGUCUGGAACAAUGUAGGCCAGGUUGGCCUUGAACUCACAGAGAACCCCCUGCCUCUGACUCCUGAGUAAUGGAUUAAAGAUGUAUGCUACCA
Molecule: RNA transcript, 5630 nt
Organism: Mus musculus (house mouse)
Lineage: Eukaryota; Metazoa; Chordata; Mammalia; Rodentia; Muridae
Gene: Serac1
Gene name: serine active site containing 1
Exons: 17
Source: RefSeq, marked validated